RNAcentral lists this ribosomal RNA (1666 nucleotides) under Staphylococcus aureus. Its description in RNAcentral is "partial 23S ribosomal RNA". It matches the Rfam family "Bacterial large subunit ribosomal RNA", at positions 1260 to 2925 of the family's 2925-position model. The record is from RNAcentral. Lineage: Bacteria; Bacillati; Bacillota; Bacilli; Caryophanales; Staphylococcaceae.
AUCGUAAGGACAUGUGGAGCGCUUAGAAGUGAGAAUGCCGGUGUGAGUAGUGAAAGACGGGUGAGAAUCCCGUCCACCGAUUGACUAAGGUUUCCAGAGGAAGGCUCGUCCGCUCUGGGUUAGUCGGGUCCUAAGCUGAGGCCGACAGGCGUAGGCGAUGGAUAACAGGUUGAUAUUCCUGUACCACCUAUAAUCGUUUUAAUCGAUGGGGGGACGCAGUAGGAUAGGCGAAGCGUGCGAUUGGAUUGCACGUCUAAGCAGUAAGGCUGAGUAUUAGGCAAAUCCGGUACUCGUUAAGGCUGAGCUGUGAUGGGGAGAAGACAUUGUGUCUUCGAGUCGUUGAUUUCACACUGCCGAGAAAAGCCUCUAGAUAGAAAAUAGGUGCCCGUACCGCAAACCGACACAGGUAGUCAAGAUGAGAAUUCUAAGGUGAGCGAGCGAACUCUCGUUAAGGAACUCGGCAAAAUGACCCCGUAACUUCGGGAGAAGGGGUGCUCUUUAGGGUUAACGCCCAGAAGAGCCGCAGUGAAUAGGCCCAAGCGACUGUUUAUCAAAAACACAGGUCUCUGCUAAACCGUAAGGUGAUGUAUAGGGGCUGACGCCUGCCCGGUGCUGGAAGGUUAAGAGGAGUGGUUAGCUUCUGCGAAGCUACGAAUCGAAGCCCCAGUAAACGGCGGCCGUAACUAUAACGGUCCUAAGGUAGCGAAAUUCCUUGUCGGGUAAGUUCCGACCCGCACGAAAGGCGUAACGAUUUGGGCACUGUCUCAACGAGAGACUCGGUGAAAUCAUAGUACCUGUGAAGAUGCAGGUUACCCGCGACAGGACGGAAAGACCCCGUGGAGCUUUACUGUAGCCUGAUAUUGAAAUUCGGCACAGCUUGUACAGGAUAGGUAGGAGCCUUUGAAACGUGAGCGCUAGCUUACGUGGAGGCGCUGGUGGGAUACUACCCUAGCUGUGUUGGCUUUCUAACCCGCACCACUUAUCGUGGUGGGAGACAGUGUCAGGCGGGCAGUUUGACUGGGGCGGUCGCCUCCUAAAAGGUAACGGAGGCGCUCAAAGGUUCCCUCAGAAUGGUUGGAAAUCAUUCAUAGAGUGUAAAGGCAUAAGGGAGCUUGACUGCGAGACCUACAAGUCGAGCAGGGUCGAAAGACGGACUUAGUGAUCCGGUGGUUCCGCAUGGAAGGGCCAUCGCUCAACGGAUAAAAGCUACCCCGGGGAUAACAGGCUUAUCUCCCCCAAGAGUUCACAUCGACGGGGAGGUUUGGCACCUCGAUGUCGGCUCAUCGCAUCCUGGGGCUGUAGUCGGUCCCAAGGGUUGGGCUGUUCGCCCAUUAAAGCGGUACGCGAGCUGGGUUCAGAACGUCGUGAGACAGUUCGGUCCCUAUCCGUCGUGGGCGUAGGAAAUUUGAGAGGAGCUGUCCUUAGUACGAGAGGACCGGGAUGGACAUACCUCUGGUGUACCAGUUGUCGUGCCAACGGCAUAGCUGGGUAGCUAUGUGUGGACGGGAUAAGUGCUGAAAGCAUCUAAGCAUGAAGCCCCCCUCAAGAUGAGAUUUCCCAACUUCGGUUAUAAGAUCCCUCAAAGAUGAUGAGGUUAAUAGGUUCGAGGUGGAAGCAUGGUGACAUGUGGAGCUGACGAAUACUAAUCGAUCGAAGACUUAAUCAA